CCUGAGGCAAGUGUGUUGGGGUAACUAAGAGUAAUCUUUUUCAAAUUGGUUUAUAAUCAAGCAAAUUUCUCACUGGAACUCAAAGAGAGGGAGACAAGCUCCUUCUUUUCUCACACCUCCAGUUGGGGUAUGUUUUUUUCUCGUUACGAAGAAAUAUUCAAUACUUUUAAAACUUGGCCAAUUGCCAGAUUCAUGAUGCCACUGUAAAGGUUUACAACGGAUUUUUGGAGAGUCAGCAGAGAGGCUACAACUGAGGAGCUUUCAUAAAUCACAAAUCACAGGAUUUACAAUUUGGGGAACUAUAAGAGGAGAUAAACAACAAACUGAGGUUUUUGAGAUAUUGGGAAUGUUGCUGACCUGUAAUACUGAUUCCUAUUGUGAAUUCCUUUUAUUAUGUACUUAUUUUUUCAUAGUAGUAGAUAUUAUACUGCCUAUAUUCCUUUCUGAUAAUUUUGGGAACAUAGAACAGCAAGAUUUUGAUAUUUGUAACAUUUAGCAUCUGAGUGCAAGUGACAACCCCAAAGCAAGAGUGGCUUAGAGAAGGCAGAUAUUUAUUUCUCUGUCAAUUAACAGGAGGCAGAAGCAGGCAGUUUAAUAAAGAGACACCACAAUCAGGUGGGACUAAGGUUUGUUCUACCAGGUCUUUUUGUCACCCUAACAUGGUUUCCAACUCAAACUCCAAGAUAGCUGCUCCAGAUGGAGACCUCACAUCUGCACUCCCUGCAGGAAGGAGGAAGGGUCUGACCUUUCCUUUAAGGGGGAACACUUCCUGUAGCUGGUACACAACACUUCUACUUAGAUCUGACUGGCCAGAAUUUAGUCCUAUGGCCAUGUGUCUCUAUAAGGAAGACUAAAAUGUAAAUUUUAUUUUGGACAACCAUAUGCCCAGCUAAAAAUUAGUGGUUCCAUUACCAAAGAAGUAGGAGAGGAUGAAUAUUGGGAAACAAUUAGCCGUCUCUGCAAUAACCUUUUAAUAGUUUGCUCUAGAUGCUAUAGAGGCUAGAUUUUUCCAUUUUGUUUUGUUUCUUAUUGAUUUUCUUAAAGAAAAAUACUAGAUAUUUACGUAUAAACAAUACUAUUUUUUUCUGUCAUAUUUGCGACUAAUAAAUUUCAAUGCUACUUUUUAAA
Molecule: long non-coding RNA, 1128 nt
Organism: Homo sapiens (human)
Lineage: Eukaryota; Metazoa; Chordata; Mammalia; Primates; Hominidae
Source: Ensembl